Molecule: small RNA, 16 nt
Filed under: Arabidopsis thaliana (thale cress)
Lineage: Eukaryota; Viridiplantae; Streptophyta; Magnoliopsida; Brassicales; Brassicaceae
Description: ATSL023580
Source: RNAcentral
AUAUAAAGAUGAGAAA